ACUUAAAUUGAAGAGUUUGAUCAUGGCUCAGAUUGAACGCUGGCGGCAGGCCUAACACAUGCAAGUCGAGCGGUAGCACAGAGAGCUUGCUCUCGGGUGACGAGCGGCGGACGGGUGAGUAAUGUCUGGGAAACUGCCUGAUGGAGGGGGAUAACUACUGGAAACGGUAGCUAAUACCGCAUAAUGUCGCAAGACCAAAGUGGGGGACCUUCGGGCCUCAUGCCAUCAGAUGUGCCCAGAUGGGAUUAGCUAGUAGGUGGGGUAACGGCUCACCUAGGCGACGAUCCCUAGCUGGUCUGAGAGGAUGACCAGCCACACUGGAACUGAGACACGGUCCAGACUCCUACGGGAGGCAGCAGUGGGGAAUAUUGCACAAUGGGCGCAAGCCUGAUGCAGCCAUGCCGCGUGUGUGAAGAAGGCCUUCGGGUUGUAAAGCACUUUCAGCGGGGAGGAAGGCGUUAAGGUUAAUAACCUUGGCGAUUGACGUUACCCGCAGAAGAAGCACCGGCUAACUCCGUGCCAGCAGCCGCGGUAAUACGGAGGGUGCAAGCGUUAAUCGGAAUUACUGGGCGUAAAGCGCACGCAGGCGGUCUGUCAAGUCGGAUGUGAAAUCCCCGGGCUCAACCUGGGAACUGCAUUCGAAACUGGCAGGCUAGAGUCUUGUAGAGGGGGGUAGAAUUCCAGGUGUAGCGGUGAAAUGCGUAGAGAUCUGGAGGAAUACCGGUGGCGAAGGCGGCCCCCUGGACAAAGACUGACGCUCAGGUGCGAAAGCGUGGGGAGCAAACAGGAUUAGAUACCCUGGUAGUCCACGCCGUAAACGAUGUCGAUUUGGAGGUUGUGCCCUUGAGGCGUGGCUUCCGGAGCUAACGCGUUAAAUCGACCGCCUGGGGAGUACGGCCGCAAGGUUAAAACUCAAAUGAAUUGACGGGGGCCCGCACAAGCGGUGGAGCAUGUGGUUUAAUUCGAUGCAACGCGAAGAACCUUACCUGGUCUUGACAUCCACAGAACUU
Molecule: ribosomal RNA, 1010 nt
Filed under: Klebsiella pneumoniae
Lineage: Bacteria; Pseudomonadati; Pseudomonadota; Gammaproteobacteria; Enterobacterales; Enterobacteriaceae
Description: bacterial SSU rRNA
Rfam family: Bacterial small subunit ribosomal RNA
Source: RNAcentral